CGGACGGGUGAGUAAUGUCUGGGAAACUGCCUGAUGAGGGGAUGACUACUGGAAACGGUAGCUAAUACCGCAUAACGUCGCAAGACCAAAGAGGGGGACCUUCGGGCCUCUUGCCAUCGGAUGUGCCCAGAUGGGAUUAGCUAGUAGGUGGGGUAACGGCUCACCUAGGCGACGAUCCCUAGCUGGUCUGAGAGGAUGACCAGCCACACUGGAACUGAGACACGGUCCAG
RNAcentral lists this ribosomal RNA (230 nucleotides) under uncultured bacterium. RNAcentral describes it as "partial 16S ribosomal RNA". It matches the Rfam family "Bacterial small subunit ribosomal RNA", at positions 99 to 334 of the family's 1533-position model. The record is from RNAcentral.